UUGAUACCCCCUCCGUCCGAAAAUACAUGUCAUCAAAAUUGAUAAAAGAAGAUGUAUCUAGACGUAUUUUAGUUCUAGAUACAUCUCUUUUUAUUCAUUUUGAUGACAAGUAUUUUCGGAAGGAGAGAGUACUUG
Molecule: non-coding RNA, 135 nt
Organism: Triticum aestivum (bread wheat)
Lineage: Eukaryota; Viridiplantae; Streptophyta; Magnoliopsida; Poales; Poaceae
Source: Rfam